UCUUCCUUUUAACCUAAAGGAACUACUGGAAAAUAUGCUUCACCAACACAAGAAAAUAUACCAAGAAAGAGGAAGGCCUGAGUCUCAGGAUAUAAGGAAUACAUGCCAGGAGAAUGGUAAAGGCAAUUCCAAAUUUGAGAGCAAGAGGAGUCCAAGGAUAACACUACAGCAAGUCCAGAAAGCACCAGCCCCAUAGAGAAGUCCCCAGGAGAGAGGGCUCAAAGGAAAACAUUUAGAAUGGCUAGAUUACCCAGUAUGGGUGGUCUAUGGGAAAAUGUACUGAGACACUAUUAUGGGAAGACAUGGGAAAAAUUAGCAAUAAUAAAAAAAAAGCACCAACCACAUGAAAAAAAUCAAGGCAUGUUUUACCUGAGGGAAAAAUAGCAAGGUAAUAGAAAACAAGGAGAGCCUGAGAAACUGUCACAACCAAGAGCAGAAGGAGUCAUGACAACUCAGUGUAUCCUGGAUGUGGUAUCCUGGAAGGGGUCCUGGAACAGAAAAAAUGCAUUAAGCAAAAACAAAUGAAAUCUGAGUAAACAACAGACUUUAGCUAAUAAUAAUGUUUCAGUAUUUAUUUAUUAGUAGUAACAGGUGUACUAUACUAACAUGUUGAUAGAAGAAACGGUGCAGGGUAUAUGAGAACUCUAUAUGUAUUACCUUCACAUUUUUUCCGUAAAUCUAAAACUUCUAAAACAGUUUAUUUUUUAAAAAAGGAAGAAAAUCACAAUACACUUCAACUUUUAGCUUUGAAUAAUAUUUGCAUAGGCACAAUAAUGCAAACACUGAUUUAACAAAAAGAUUGCAAUGUAACUACAUUGAAAGGGUGGGGAAGAAAUGUGUAAAGCAGAGAGAUGGCAGAGUGAGAGAACCAAACUGAUUUACCAUAAAAAAGAUAAGUAGGUAAUGCCCAAAAUUGAUGAUUGAUAGCAAUAUAUGCCUAUUAUUUAGAAAUGUGAAGGUAUAUGAUGGCAGGAGAAACAGCUAAGACUAGAAAGAGGUUGUCUCUGAGGAAAAGGAUUAGGAAAACAGGACACGUGGGACAGAGAACCAUUGUUUUUUAUUUAGCCUUUUUUUUUUUUUUCUUUCCAGACAGGGUCUCACUUUGUCAUCCAGGCUGGAGUGCAGUAGCAUGAACACGGCUCACUGCAGCCUCAGCCUCCUGGGCUCAAGCAAUCCUCCCAACCUCAACCUCCCUAGUAGUUGGGAUUACAGGUGUGAGCCAUCAUGCCCAGCUAAUUUUUUGUAUUUUUUUGUAGAGACAGGGUUUUGCCAUGUUGCUCAGGCUAGUCUCGAACUCUUGAGCUCAAGCCAUCCACCCAAUUUGGCCUUCCAAAGUGCUAGGAUUAACAGGCAUGAGCCACUGCACCUGGCUAUUUAGCGUUUUCAAUGCUAGUUUUCAGAUUAUGUGCAUGUAUUAAUUUGAUAAACAUCAACUAAAAUAAAUCAAAAGGAUGAAGUAGACUGUAAUGCAUUGACAAGCAAGAAAACUGCCAAAUAAUUGACAAAUCAAAAAGCAAAUUCUAGGAAUGCCACAGAAAUAACCCUGAUGGCAUUACUAAAUACAGGUUGGUUGCCAUUUUGAAGUUAUUCUCUUUUUCAAAACGUGCCAACAUACUAAAAAUUAACGUCUUCAUUUCUGAAACUUAAGUUCCCUCCUUUGACUACUUUCUCAAUUCUUCUCUCUCAUUCUCUGGUAGAAAAUCUGCUUUCACUUCAUCACCGCAUUGAAAUCCUCUAAUUUAUGCUUGUCACCUUUCUCUUGCCUUCAUUUCUCUCAAUGCAACUUUCUCCCUAAAUGUUCUCUGAAACCCACCAACAAUCCCCAAUACUGAAAAAAAUCCAUCAGUUUUAGGUCAUACUUUCUGAUGGCUUAAGAAAUAUAUAUUUUCUUCAGUUGGCUUCACUGUAAACUCAUGAUUUUCACUCAUUUGAAAAUUAGCACUCAUCAAUAGUCCUUUUACUCAUCCCCUCCCUUUUUUUUCCUAAACAUGUGCCAUUCUUUUUUGGUAUCUAAUCUUCUUUGGCCUUUCUGCUGACAUUACUCCCUGAUGGCUUUCUUACUUUGCCAAAACAAAAAAUGUCCUGCCUUUUUUUCAUCUCCAAAUACACUCAUUCUUCCCUUUCCUUUUGUGCAGAGUAAGAAAUAUCCCCACUUCUUUCUGAGACUCUUUCCAUCUACCUGACUUCUUUCUUCCCUUAGAUAUUAGUUUUACCCAGGAUUUUUGAAAUUUGCAUGCAGAUUUCAAAAUGGAUGGAUAAAUGAAAGAAUAAAUGAAACUUGCCAUCUUAAUUACGGUUUCCCUAAAUUACCUCCUUUCCUACUUCCACUACAGUGGUUCAGGCCUUUACCAUCACUUGGCUGGUUGACUGCUGCUGCAUCGAAUGUUCUUAUAAUUUUUUCACUCACCAUCUUCCUUCCAUGAUUUACUAUUUCCUCUGGCUUACAACAUAUUCAAGGUUCUUACAUGUGUUUGGGUGGAAGUGAACUUUUCUUUCCCUAAUAACCAUAUUUCUAUUUCAUCCUUGGUCUCCAGGCUUUUUAAAGGUUUCUCACAUUUACUGAUAACAUUCAUUUAUCUAUAGUAGAGUAUCUCUGUAGUGGAUGAAGUUCUAAACUUUUGUUGGCUGAAUACAAAUUGAUUUUGACUGCCUGCUUUUUUCCCCUCCACCUCUGAUGCUCAGCCCCAGGGCUCCCAGUGUGGAUCUCCUAGGGCAUACUAUUCUGGGAAGGGCUCUUUUUGGUAAGCCUAUUUAGACCAUAGUCAAGCAUAAACUCGUUGUUUUGAAGAAGCCCUAAAGACUGGUGAAAUAAUCGAAAUGUGAGUACUUUGUUCAGACUGAGAUGUUAAGUGUUCAGUAACAUUUAUUGGAUAUAUGAUAGCUAAUAUUUUAUAAAGCACUUGCUAUUGCUAAGAAAUUCACAUCAUCUUAGUGUCCUUAAGGAGCAUCUGAAGGGACACUUUCCAUUAUACAGAUAAGGAAAGUAACUUUUAGAGAUAAAUAACUUGCUUAAAGUCAAUAUUGUAGGCUCUUGAGCCAGGAUUCAUACUGGUGGGCUGAAUGUGUAACUGCAUUCUUAAUCAUUCGAUUACACUGUCUUGGCUGUAAAACACUGGUUUCUACAAGAAAUAACAUGGGCAUAGUCAUUCCUCAAGAGACAUACAAAUUAGUCAAGGCAGUAAUGCCACACAACUAUAAUGCAAGAUAGAUCUCUAUAAUUGCAAUCUAAAAGGAACAAAGUGUUACUGGAGUCCUACUGAGAGAUCAAGAGACAUUCCUUCUAGCUAGGGUACUUAAAAGGAUGUGGACUUUAGAUUUGGCUUUAAAGUUUAAGGGAUGGACAAGAUUUAAACAAUUGCUGUUAAAAGGGAAAGGUUAAUCAGAGAAGGGGUGUCACUAACAAAAACAUGAACCAGGAAGGAAGAGAGCAUGCUCAUGAGACAGGAGCCUAAUUUCAUUAAAGCAAAAGGUGAGUGAAGUUAAGGGGUAAGAAUCAAGACAGGAAAAAUAGUUUGAGACCAAAUUAUGGAGCAAGCAUCUGAACUUUAUCUGCAGACUGUAAGGAGUCUAUGAAGAUUUCUGAGCAUAGUACCAUGACAAGAGUUAUUUAGGAAGAUCAAUUUGGGAGCAGGUUGUAGGACUGGCAGAGUAGAGAGAGACUAAAAGAAUAGUUUUGUUUGUUGUUUUUUGUUUUUUUGUUUUUUUUUUGAGACGUUGUCUAGCUCUCUUGCCAGGCUGGAGUGCAGUGGCACGAUCUCGGCUCACUGCAACUUCCGCCUCCCAGGCUCAAGCGAUUCUCCUGCCUCAGCCUUCUGAGUAGCUGGGAUUACAGGCACGCGCCACCACACCCAGCUAAUUUU
Molecule: long non-coding RNA, 3860 nt
Filed under: Homo sapiens (human)
Lineage: Eukaryota; Metazoa; Chordata; Mammalia; Primates; Hominidae
Description: HSALNT0093695
Source: RNAcentral